RNAcentral lists this ribosomal RNA (497 nucleotides) under uncultured bacterium. RNAcentral's name for it is "partial 16S ribosomal RNA". It matches the Rfam family "Bacterial small subunit ribosomal RNA", at positions 28 to 507 of the family's 1533-position model. The record is from RNAcentral.
GAUGAACGCUGGCGGCGUGCCUAAUACAUGCAAGUCGAGCGAACAGACGAGGAGCUUGCUCCUCUGACGUUAGCGGCGGACGGGUGAGUAACACGUGGAUAACCUACCUAUAAGACUGGGAUAACUUCGGGAAACCGGAGCUAAUACCGGAUAAUAUAUUGAACCGCAUGGUUCAAUAGUGAAAGACGGUUUUGCUGUCACUUAUAGAUGGAUCCGCGCCGCAUUAGCUAGUUGGUAAGGUAACGGCUUACCAAGGCAACGAUGCGUAGCCGACCGGAGAGGGUGAUCGGCCACAUGGGAACUGAGACACGGUCCAGACUCCUACGGGAGGCAGCAGUAGGGAAUCUUCCGCAAUGGGCGAAAGCCUGACGGAGCAACGCCGCGUGAGUGAUGAAGGUCUUCGGAUCGUAAAACUCUGUUAUUAGGGAAGAACAAAUGUGUAAGUAACUAUGCACGUCUUGACGGUACCUAAUCAGAAAGCCACGGCUAACUACGUG